This 767-nucleotide ribosomal RNA is filed under the name uncultured archaeon. RNAcentral's name for it is "bacterial SSU rRNA". It matches the Rfam family "Archaeal small subunit ribosomal RNA", at positions 75 to 843 of the family's 1478-position model. The record is from RNAcentral.
UACAUGGCGUACUGCUCAGUAACACGUGGACAACCUACCCUCCGGACGGGUAUAAACCCGGGAAACUGGGUAUAAUCCCCGAUAGAUCUCGGUCGCUGGAAUGCCCCGAGAUCGAAAGCUCCGGCGCCAGAGGAUGGGUCUGCGGCCUAUCAGGUAGUAGUGGGUGUAGCGUACCUACUAGCCUACGACGGGUACGGGUUGUGAGAGCAAGAGCCCGGAGAUGGAUUCUGAGACACGAAUCCAGGCCCUACGGGGUGCAGCAGGCGCGAAAACUUUACAAUGCCGGCAACGGCGAUAAGGGGACCUCGAGUGCCAGGUUACAAAUCUGGCUGUCGUGAUGCAUAAAAAGCAUUGCAUAGCAAGGGCCGGGCAAGACCGGUGCCAGCCGCCGCGGUAACACCGGCGGCUCGAGUGGUAACCGUUAUUAUUGGGUCUAAAGGGUCUGUAGCCGGCCGGAUAAGUCUCUUGAGAAAUCCAGCAGCUCAACUGUUGGGCUUUCAGGAGAUACUGUUCGGCUCGAGGCCGGGAGAGGUGAGAGGUACUUCAGGGGUAGGGGUGAAAUCUUGUAAUCCUUGAAGGACCACCAGUGGCGAAGGCGUCUCACCAGAACGGACCUGACGGCAAGGGACGAAAGCUAGGGGCACGAACCGGAUUAGAUACCCGGGUAGUCCUAGCCGUAAACGAUACUCGCUAGGUGUCGGCCACGGUGCGACCGUUGUCGGUGCCGUAGGGAAGCCGUGAAGCGAGCCACCUGGGAAGUACGGCCG